GACGAACGCUGGCGGCGUGCUUAACACAUGCAGGUCGAACGGAAAGGCCCUGCUUUUGUGGGGUGCUCGAGUGGCGAACGGGUGAGUAACACGUGAGUAACCUGCCCUUGACUUUGGGAUAACUUCAGGAAACUGGGGCUAAUACCGGAUAGGAGCUCCUGCUGCAUGGUGGGGGUUGGAAAGUUUCGGCGGUUGGGGAUGGACUCGCGGCUUAUCAGCUUGUUGGUGGGGUAGUGGCUUACCAAGGCUUUGACGGGUAGCCGGCCUGAGAGGGUGACCGGCCACAUUGGGACUGAGAUACGGCCCAGACUCCUACGGGAGGCAGCAGUGGGGAAUAUUGCACAAUGGGCGGAAGCCUGAUGCAGCAACGCCGCGUGCGGGAUGACGGCCUUCGGGUUGUAAACCGCUUUCGCCUGUGACGAAGCGUGGGUGACGGUAAUGGGUAAAGAAGCACCGGCUAACUACGUG
This 468-nucleotide ribosomal RNA is filed under the name uncultured bacterium. RNAcentral describes it as "partial 16S ribosomal RNA". It matches the Rfam family "Bacterial small subunit ribosomal RNA", at positions 28 to 507 of the family's 1533-position model. The record is from RNAcentral.